GCCUUCUUGGUGUAGUGGUCAGCACGCUCGACGCGUAACCGAGAGGUCCGUGGUUCGAUUCCCGGCGAAGGCG
RNAcentral lists this transfer RNA (73 nucleotides) under Stegodyphus mimosarum. It matches the Rfam family "tRNA". Rfam says of the family: Transfer RNA (tRNA) molecules are approximately 80 nucleotides in length. Their secondary structure includes four short double-helical elements and three loops (D, anti-codon, and T loops). Lineage: Eukaryota; Metazoa; Arthropoda; Arachnida; Araneae; Eresidae. The record is from Rfam by way of RNAcentral.